RNAcentral lists this transfer RNA (72 nucleotides) under Camelus ferus (Wild Bactrian camel). It matches the Rfam family "tRNA". From Rfam's summary of the family: Transfer RNA (tRNA) molecules are approximately 80 nucleotides in length. Their secondary structure includes four short double-helical elements and three loops (D, anti-codon, and T loops). The record is from Rfam by way of RNAcentral. Lineage: Eukaryota; Metazoa; Chordata; Mammalia; Artiodactyla; Camelidae.
GAGCAUAUAGCUCAGUGGUAGAGCGCAUGCCUAGCAUGUACGAGGUCUUGGGUUCAAUCCCCAGUACAUCCG